UGGAUUAGGCAUGCAAGUCGAGCGGGCGUAGCAAUACGCCAGCGGCGGAAGGGUGAGUAAGGCGACGGCAACCAACCCCGAGAAUGGGUAUAGCCGCGGGAAACUGCGGGUAAUCCCCAGCGAUGCGAGGGCGUCGGCAUCGACGCUUCGCCAAAGGAUUCGUCCGUCUCGGGACGGGCCGUCGUGGUAUUAGGUAGUUGGCGGGGUAACGGCCCACCAAGCCAUCGAUGCCUACCGGGCGUGCGAGCGCGGCCCGGCACACUGGGACUGAGACACUGCCCAGACACCUACGGGUGGCUGCAGUCGAGAAUCUUCGGCAAUGGGCGAAAGCCUGACCGAGCGACGCCGCGUGUGGGAUGAAGGCCUUCGGGUUGUAAACCGCUGUCAGAGGGGAGGAAUGGGCGGAGGGUAAUCUCUUCGUUUUGACCUAUCCUCAGAGGAAGUACGGGCUAAGUACGUGCCAGCAGCCGCGGUA
This 475-nucleotide ribosomal RNA is filed under the name uncultured bacterium. Its description in RNAcentral is "bacterial SSU rRNA". It matches the Rfam family "Bacterial small subunit ribosomal RNA", at positions 45 to 522 of the family's 1533-position model. The record is from RNAcentral.